CGUGCUCUUUGCACAAAAUCUGCUUUCGGAUUGCAAGUCAAAUGCUUCCACUGGCUUUCGUCUAAACAAACAAAUAAAUAUUGAAUAUUGAUGUGGCACGUACCGUGAAGCCGAUGCCAACAGUUGCUGCGAAGUUUCCUGGUUGAAAUCUUCCGGUAUCGAACUGGACCAGCAGAGAUGUCUUACCAACACCGCUGUCGCCCAGGAGAAUUGUCUGCGAUCAAAAAAAGAAAGAGAAGUCGCUGCUCCUCAUACUAUCGUAAUCUCUGGACGAGUAGCCAUAGUUAUCGUCUAAUACUUCCGCUGGAGGCUUGUAGUCUCGAUAUCCGGUCGGCGAAGGGGUCAUGGUCAAAGGUUGGCCCAUAGACCUCGGUGUUAAACCGCUGGAAGCCGCCAUGGAGACAUCGUCUUCCACCUCGAACACGUCGUCGCUCAUGCUGUCGUCGCCCAUCAUGAUCUGCGGAUGAAACAUCGACCGGAAACGUGAAUACGCGAUGAGUUAUGGUACCAUUGAUAUAGUUCUUCUUUUUGGAGCGGUUCUUGUCUUUGAUUGAUAAUAAAAAUAUUCUGGCAAUGAUACAGAGAUAUCUGAUUUUUAAUAACAGAUUAUUAAUAAUUCAUCGUAGUAGUAAUUUUAUUGCAUGGUAGAAA
RNAcentral lists this unclassified non-coding RNA (651 nucleotides) under Bombus terrestris (buff-tailed bumblebee). Its description in RNAcentral is "misc RNA ENSBTSG00005021344.1". The record is from RNAcentral. Lineage: Eukaryota; Metazoa; Arthropoda; Insecta; Hymenoptera; Apidae.